UACGAAGGUCCCGAGCGUUGUUCGGAAUCACUGGGCGUAAAGGGAGCGUAGGCGGUCGUGCAAGUCGCGUGUGAAAGCCCCCGGCUCAACUGGGGAGGGUCACGCGAUACUGUUCGACUCGAAGGCAGGAGAGGGAAGUGGAAUUCCCGGUGUAGUGGUGAAAUGCGUAGAUAUCGGGAGGAACACCAGUGGCGAAGGCGACUUCCUGGCCUGUUCUUGACGCUGAGGCGCGAAAGCUAGGGUAGCAAACGGG
This 253-nucleotide ribosomal RNA is filed under the name uncultured bacterium. RNAcentral describes it as "partial 16S ribosomal RNA". It matches the Rfam family "Bacterial small subunit ribosomal RNA", at positions 524 to 776 of the family's 1533-position model. The record is from RNAcentral.